This 63-nucleotide non-coding RNA is filed under the name unclassified sequences. The record is from RNAcentral.
CGCAGAGGGCAGCCCUUCGGGGCUGUAAUGCACUCCCCACCUGGGGAGCGGUCCCAAGUCCGC